GACGAACGCUGGCGGCGUGCUUAACACAUGCAAGUCGAACGGAAAGGCCCUGCUUUUGUGGGGUGCUCGAGUGGCGAACGGGUGAGUAACACGUGAGUAACCUGCCCUUGACUUUGGGAUAACUUCAGGAAACUGGGGCUAAUACCGGAUAGGAGCUCCUGCUGCAUGGUGGGGGUUGGAAAGUUUCGGCGGUUGGGGAUGGACUCGCGGCUUAUCAGCUUGUUGGUGGGGUAGUGGCUUACCAAGGCUUUGACGGGUAGCCGGCCUGAGAGGGUGACCGGCCACAUUGGGACUGAGAUACGGCCCAGACUGCUACGGGAGGCAGCAGUGGGGAAUAUUGCACAAUGGGCGGAAGCCUGAUGCAGCAACGCCGCGUGCGGGAUGACGGCCUUCGGGUUGUAAACCGCUUUCGCCUGUGACGAAGCGUGAGUGGCGGUAAUGGGUAAAGAAGCACCGGCUAACUACGUG
Molecule: ribosomal RNA, 468 nt
Filed under: uncultured bacterium
Lineage: Bacteria
Description: partial 16S ribosomal RNA
Rfam family: Bacterial small subunit ribosomal RNA
Source: RNAcentral